This 1618-nucleotide long non-coding RNA is filed under the name Brassica napus (rape). RNAcentral's name for it is "long non-coding RNA (BNAP_LNC016613)". The record is from RNAcentral. Lineage: Eukaryota; Viridiplantae; Streptophyta; Magnoliopsida; Brassicales; Brassicaceae.
GUUUCAAGCCUGAAGAUGUCUCUGACUCGCCUAAUGGAGUCACUCCGCCUGGCCACCGUGUUUUGAUGUCUCUACAGGGGAAGAAGCAAGGCUCCUUGGCAGCAGCGGAAGCUAGAAAGAGAAGGAAAGAACUCACUAAGCUCAAGAACCUCCACGGCCGUCAAUGUCGGAUGCAAGUAUGACAACAUUACAAUAUAGAUUCAUCCUUUUUUACCAGUUGCAUUACCACUAAAGGUACUACUACUUCCCUUUGUUUUUGUCCGGGGCAUUUUCCAAUUGUUUCGGCUUUUCUUUAUUUUAAACACCGACGUCACACUGAUCCAACAAACAAAAUUGGAUUACUAUUAUUAUUACACACAAGGUUAGUAGUGUUUUCAAGGGUUUUGUUUUUCACAAAAUGUUGUUGGACCAUUGUAAGAUUCUGUUUGCUUCUCAGUGGAAGUUUUGUAUUAACAUGUUUUCAGGGCUUUUGUUCCCUUUUUAGAAGACAGAAUCAAUAAGGUUUUGGAAUGAAUCAGUUUCCAUUUAUUAUUAACUAGUGACUAAAUUAUUAAGAUAUUAAAGAAAAAGCAUCCAAGAUCCUGUUCUACAAUCUCUGAGGCCUCAAGUUUGGUUUACCGACCGAACCAAAUGAAGCAAUCUCUUGACACCGAACGAUCCCAGCAGCUCCACCAUAACACAACAAUCUCUCGCUUCCUUUGUUCAUAUUCCACCGCACUUUGUGCAUCGCCACCAUUUUAGGUGGGAGCCUUUCUACUUUCACUCCGCUGCUACUGUUACUUGCUUCCUUUCUUCUUCCUUCUCCUUCAUCCCCAUCUUCUUUAAUACAAACCAGCGCUCCUCUGUUCUCGUCCUCCUCUAUUGUGUUCCCCUUUCCCUUUUUAUCCUUUGACUUUGAUGCCUUCUUGUUAGUUCCCUCGGGUUCAGACUCUGAUCCCGGUUCCUCAUCCUGUGCAAAAGCUGUACACAUGUAAAGUAAAUUAGUUUCAAUCAGUGUUUCAAAAAAAAAAGAAUGCGGGGCCAUCUAAUCGGCAAAUUAGAUCUAAAUGAAAAGAUUUUUCAAUUAUUUAGCGGCUCAGAAAAUUGGUUUAGGUGUCCGCCUAAUCAAUAAUUUCAUAUAAGUCGUCUAAAUGCCGCCGCCUAACGAUUUUUUUUUAACAUUGGUUUCAAUGGUACAACCCAAACCAGUGCCAGAUCCGAAGUCCUCUCAGAAGAGGGAGAUGGUUUUCCCGUAACAACGCAACAACAAGCUUUUAGUUUCAAGCCUGAAGAUGUCUCUGACUCGCCUAAUGGAGUCACUCCGCCUGGCCACCGUGUUUUGAUGUCUCUACAGGGGAAGAAGCAAGGCUCCUUGGCAGCAGCGGAAGCUAGAAAGAGAAGGAAAGAACUCACUAAGCUCAAGAACCUCCACGGCCGUCAAUGUCGGAUGCAAGUAUGACAACAUUACAAUAUAGAUUCAUCCUUUUUUACCAGUUGCAUUACCACUAAAGGUACUACUACUUCCCUUUGUUUUUGUCCGGGGCAUUUUCCAAUUGUUUCGGCUUUUCUUUAUUUUAAACACCGACGUCACACUGAUCCAACAAACAAAAUUGGAUUACUAUUAUUAUUACACACAAGG